Molecule: long non-coding RNA, 4446 nt
Filed under: Olea europaea subsp. europaea
Lineage: Eukaryota; Viridiplantae; Streptophyta; Magnoliopsida; Lamiales; Oleaceae
Source: RNAcentral
AGGAGGCCAAAAAUCAUACAAUCAGCAAAACAUUAUGGUAAACCAGCAACCAAUCAUAAAGCCAAACUAGUAAGCAAUCAGGAAGCCAAAAUCGUGCAAUCAACAAGACAUUAGGACAUCAACUAUUAGCUGAAAUCACAGCUGUGACUAGGAGCAAAAUUGUAGAGUAAUCUUCUGUAUAUUCCAUACUUAGAACAUGAUGUAAUGUGUAUAUAUAUCUAUAAAAUAGUUAAUGAAAGUGUGGAGCCUGAAAUUCUCUUUAAGAUAUCAGAGCAUACAACCUCUAAUGAGUAUCUUGAAUCCUCUAAAAUGCCUUCUGCUGAAACCAUAUUUACUUCCACUUCUCCAGUCACUGUUAUUUCUCCCUUUGGAACUAACUUAGUUAGUGAAAAGUGAAAAGCUCACCCCAUCCAUCUUUCCCCAAUGGCGAGCCCAAUUUGAGGCCUUACUCAUUGGCUACAACCUCAUGGAUUAUGUUACAAGUACUUCUAUCUAUCCACAGAAAUCUAAUCCUGCACACUCAUUUUGGGUCUGUCAGAACAAACUCAUUCUCCAUGGCAUUCUCUCCUCCAUCUCUCCCACGAUUACUCCUCUUAUUGCAUAGUCUAAGAUAACAUAUGAUGCCUAGACAAAACUCAACUAGAUGUAUGCACGCAAAUCUCGGACCCGUGCCAUUCAAUUGAAGGAAGAACUUACUCUCAUUCAACAGGGUAACGUUCGGUAACAAAUUUCCUACAAGCCAUAAAAAUCCUUGCUGGUAAGCUUGUAUUAAUAGAUCAUCCAGUUUCCAAUGAUGAUCUCACCAUCUACAUUCUUAAUGGUUUGGGAUUAGUAUUCCAAGAGAUUGUCGGUCCUAUUCGCACUCGUAAGUCAUCCCUAACCUUUGAAGAGGUCUAUGGCUUACUUGUUGGUCAUAAGAGCUAUCUCUGGCGCCUAGAAAUUUCUGUCCAGCCUCUUGUUGCCACUGCUAACACAUCCCAGCAUCGUAUCACCUCAGGACCUCACGGUGGUGGGUACUCCAGGCCUCGCAAUCCUAUAAUCAGAGACAAAAGCCAAAAUGAUCUUGCAUCUCCUAAACAGUGGUCUCAUGGCCAAUAAGAUCAGCAAUUCGGGCCACGCCGUUACAAGCCUAAAUACCAAUUCUGGGAUGAUUUGGGCCACACGGCUAAAUACUACCCCAAACUAGAAGGCAAAAAUGUCUUGGCCCACUAUACCUCUUUCUCUAGACAAGACAAAAAAUGGCUUGUUGAUUCUGCGGCCUCACACAAUAUUACUUUUGACUUAUCCAAUUUAUCUACUCACUCAGAAUAUGAUGGUACAGAUGCAGUAGUCAUUGGUGAUGGAUCGGGUUUGUCGAUCUCCCACAUUAGAUCUUUGGCUUUAAAAUCGCCCUCUCAUAUUUUCCACCUCUGAGAUACCCUAUAUGUCCCUAGUAUUAAAAAAAACAUGAUUUCGGUUCAUCAUUUCACUAAACAUAAUAAUGUCUUACUUGAGUUUCACUCAUCUCAUUUUUUUGUGAAGGAUCGAACCACGGGGGCAACAAUACUACGAGGAGAAUGUGAAAAUGGCGUCUAUCCUCUUCCUGAUUCAUUGGCACCUAUUUCACCAAAUAAAGUAGCUUAUGUUCAUGAACACACUACAAAAGCUGGUUGACUAAAAGGCUUUGGCAUUCUUCAUUAAAAGUUGUCUCUCACAUUGUUAAUCAGUUUCAUUUACCUCUUAAAAAAUCAAAAACACCUUCUUUAUGUAUCUCUUUUAUAAUUAAUAAGAAUCAUAGACAACCUUUUCUUGCUACCAAUCUCACUAGCAUUGCCCCUCUUGAAUUAAUAUAUAUUGAUAUUUGGGGCCCUGCUCAUGAAGUUGGAAUAGAUGGCUCAAAAUACUACCUCAUCCUUGUUGAUCACUUCACAAAAUAUAUUUGGUUAUAUCCCAUGGCACAAAAAUCCAACGUCCAAAGCAUUUUUUCCCAUUUCAAACAUUUAGUGGAGACACGAUUUUAAGCCAAAAUUAGAAGUAUCUAUUCUGACAAUGGUAGUAGAUAUGUUGCCUUAAAACCUUAUCUCUCACCCCAUGGGAUCAGUCACUAUACUACUGCUCCUCACAUCCCUCAACAAAAUGGUAUCUCGAAGCGUAAUCAUCGCCAUCUAGUUGAAACUAGUCUCUCCCUUCUUAUGGAUGCCUUUAUGUCCCUAAAAUACUGGCCAUAUGCCUUUUAAGCAACCACAUAUCUUGUAAACAGGAUGCCUACACCCCUUCUAAAAAUUAAAUUACCAUUUGAAGCAUUGCUCAGUACCACUCCAAAUUAUUUAAAACUUCGACAAUAUGGUGGUCUAUGCUGUCCUUAUACUAGGCCCUACAGUCUUCAUAAGCUUCAGCCCAAAUCCAAACCCUAUUUGUUUUUAGGUUAUUCUCAAAACCAAAAUGCUUAUCAAUGCUUGGACCUUAAAACCUCUCGUGUCUAUCUCAGUAGGCAUGUUCUAUUUGCAGAAGAUACUUUUUCCCUGGCCUUUCAAGAACCUCAACCUGAUCCUAAAGAUUUGCUCCUAGUAGUGAGGCUUUUCUCGCCCUAGCCUGGGCUACUUCCCGUCUCACUCAAGCUGCAUAUAACCCAACAUCCGGUGAAGUUGCUAGUGAAUCUGGAUACAAGGAUUGAUGUUAUUUCUGCAUCUUCUUAUGGUAUUUCCUCUCCAUCAUUUUCUAAUCUAAAUUAUUCAUGCUCUUCUAGUGAUGGCCUGAAUAAUUCAUUCACUAGUUGUCCUAAAUCUAAUUCCAUCCAGAACUCUUCUGUUCCUUUAGAUUCACUAUAUUCAUUACCUAUAUCUUUAGUCCCCACCUAGGACACAUUCGAUGACCACUAGAUCUAUGAACAAUAUGCAUUCAAUAUGAUUGUUAAACCAGCUACUAUCUGCACUAUUUUAUCUGUUGCUAUGAUGCAAUGUUGGAGCUUGCGACGACUUGAUCUCAACAAUGCAUUCUUGCAUGGCACACUCAUGGAGGAUGUUUACAUGUCACAACCACCUGGGUUUAUAGAUUCCCAAUAUCUAGACUAUGUGUGCAAGUUGCGCAAGGCUAUCUAUGGUCUCAAGCAAGCCCUGCGAUUAUGGUACUCCGCCCUUAAAGAGGUAUUACUUGGUUUUGGAUAUAUCGAAUCUAAAGUGGAUACCUCGUUAUUUAUAUUUCAUUCUAGCUCUAUCACAUCCUAUUUUCUUAUCUAUGUGGAAAGACUUGAUAAUUACCGGGAAUGACUUACUAGUUGUAUCCAAGAUUGUGAAACAGCUUGGGAUGCAACUCUCUCAAAGAUUUGGGCAAUUUUCAUUUUUUUUCCUUGGUGUGGCAGUGAUAUCCACAACAACUAGUUUAUUUCUAUCUCAACAUAAGUAUAUCCGAGAACAUCUGCCUAAAACAAGUAUGGAGGGUGCCAAGGAUGUUACCAUACUACUAUCUACAUCAGUUCCCUUGAAACUCUGUGAUGGUACUUCUAGUGUGAACGACAACUCAUACAUGUAGGUUAUUGGUUCUCUAUAGUAUUUAUGUUUGACCCGUCUCGAUAUCAGUUAUGCAGUAAAACAAAUUAUCACAGUUCAUGCACAAACUGACUGCGACUCCUUGGGCUACAGUCAAGAGAUUGCUGAGGCAUCUGAAAAAUACCAUCUUUCAUGGCCUUUAGAUCAGUUCUUCUGCUAAACCAGUGCUUCGAUCUUUCUUUGAUGCUAAUUGGGUAGGGAAUCUUGAUGAUCGCAGCUCCAACUCCACAUAUGCAAUUUUCCUAGGCUACAAUCUCAUCUUCUGGAGUUCCAAGAAGUAGCGAUCUAUUGCUCAUUCUUCCAUGGAAGCUAAAUAUCGAGCCCUUGCUAACACUGCUUCUGAAACUGUGUAGCCCCUAUCUCUCCUGAUGGAACUUGGAUUUCCUCUUCAAGGGUCACCAACACUUCUUUGUGGCAAUCUUGGGACAACCCAUUUAAGUCUUAACCCGGUCCAACGUACUCGGAUGAAACACAUCUAGAUUGAUCUCCACUUUCUCGGUGAUCCAGUACAACAAGGCAAACUUCAAGUUUAACAUGUCAAUACACACGAUCAGUUAGCUGAUUUGCUUACAAAACCUCUCUCUCAUCAUCGGACUAUACACUUAUGGACCAAGCUUGGAAUCACCGAUGGCGGUUCCAUCUUAUGGGGCAUAUUAAGGAAGAGAAUUCAACCAAGAAUCUAGCCAAACCAGCAAGCAAUCAGGAAGCUAAAUCAGCAAGCAAACAGGAGGCCAAAAAUAUGCAAUUAGCAAAACAUCAAGACAAACCAGCAAGCAAUCAUGAAGCCAAACUAGCAAGCAAUCAGGAAGCCAAAAUCAUGCAAUCAUCAAGACACCAACUGUUAGCUGAAAUCAUGGUUGUGACUAGGAGCAAAUUUGUAGAGUAAUCUUCUUUAUAUUCUAUACUUAGAACAUGAUGUAAU